GCCGCUCUGGCCCAACUGGCAGAGGCGCCGCAUUCAGGAUGCGGAGGUUCAGGGUUCGAAUCCCUGGGGCGGCA
RNAcentral lists this transfer RNA (74 nucleotides) under Nonomuraea soli. Its description in RNAcentral is "Nonomuraea sp. YIM 120770 tRNA". It matches the Rfam family "tRNA". Rfam says of the family: Transfer RNA (tRNA) molecules are approximately 80 nucleotides in length. Their secondary structure includes four short double-helical elements and three loops (D, anti-codon, and T loops). The record is from Rfam by way of RNAcentral. Lineage: Bacteria; Bacillati; Actinomycetota; Actinomycetes; Streptosporangiales; Streptosporangiaceae.